This 348-nucleotide ribosomal RNA is filed under the name Triticum aestivum (bread wheat). RNAcentral's name for it is "partial small subunit ribosomal RNA". The record is from RNAcentral. Lineage: Eukaryota; Viridiplantae; Streptophyta; Magnoliopsida; Poales; Poaceae.
AUGUUCCCCAUGUUCCAAGAGCUUGCACCACAUGACCCACACGACAAGUGUGGUCACCACUAUGCGAUCUGUCUUGACCUGAAGAACCAACGUGUUGAGGUGCUUGAUUCAAUCCGUUCGGAAGAGGAUGCAGACCUUACCACGCAUGCUGAAUUCUCCAUUAAGAACCUCAAAGAGACAUGGCACCAUCACUACGAACACUCAAAGGUCCAGAUCUGGCAUUUCCCGACCGAGUAUGUGGCGACUGCGAAGCAAGGGAACACGACAGACUGUGGCUUUCACGCUGGAGUACCUUGCAAAGUGGGAAGGCAGAAUUGUCCCCGCUAUCACAGCUGCAACGGUCGUUGA